Small nuclear RNA from Carcharodon carcharias (great white shark), 140 nucleotides. RefSeq annotates it as U4 spliceosomal RNA. Lineage: Eukaryota; Metazoa; Chordata; Chondrichthyes; Lamniformes; Lamnidae. The record is from RefSeq and is a predicted model, not a curated record. The transcript has a single exon.
CUCUCUGCACAGUGGCAGUAUCAUAGCUGAUGAGGUUUAAUCGAGGUCCCAUUAUUGCUUAUUGAAAACUUUUCCCAAUAACCUGCUUUGAUGAUUUAAAUAUAGUGGGCAAUGGCAAUUUUUGACAGUCUCUUUGGAGA